CCUACGGGAGGCUGCAGUGAGGAAUAUUGGUCAAUGGGCGGGAGCCUGAACCAGCCAAGCCGCGUGAGGGAAGAAGGUACAGCGUAUCGUAAACCUCUUUUGUCAGGGAACAAAGGCGGGGACUAGUCCCCGGAUGAGGGUACCUGAAGAACAAGCAUCGGCUAACUCCGUACCAGCAGCCGAGGUAAUACGGAGGAGGCGAGCGUUAUCCGGAUUUAUUGGGUUAAAAGGGUGCGCAGGCGGCCUGUUAAGUCAGCGGGAAAAGCCCGGGGCUAAACCCCGGCGAGCCGUUGAAACUGGCGGGCUGGAGUUGGAGAGAAGUACGCGGAAUGCGCGGUGUAGCGGUGAAAUGCUUAGAUAUCGCGCAGAACCCCGAUGGCGAAGGCAGCGUACCGGCUCCACACUGACGCUGAGGCACGAAAGCGUGGGUAUCGAACAGGAUUAGAUACCCCGGUAGUC
RNAcentral lists this ribosomal RNA (459 nucleotides) under uncultured bacterium. RNAcentral's name for it is "partial 16S ribosomal RNA". It matches the Rfam family "Bacterial small subunit ribosomal RNA", at positions 338 to 795 of the family's 1533-position model. The record is from RNAcentral.